AGGUAAGCUACUAAGAGCGAAUGGUGGAUGCCUUGACUGGUAAAGGCGAUGAAGGACGUACUAGACUGCGAUAAGCUACGGGGAGCUGUCAAGAAGCUUUGAUCCGUAGAUUUCCGAAUGGGGCAACCCAAUGUAUAGAGAUAUACAUUACCUAUAUAGGAGCGAACGAGGGGAAUUGAAACAUCUUAGUACCCUCAGGAAAAGAAAUCAAUAGAGAUUGCGUCAGUAGCGGCGAGCGAAAGCGCAAGAGGGCAAACCCAGUGCUUGCACUGGGGGUUGUAGGACUGCAAUGUGCAAGAGGUGAGUUUAGCAGAACAUUCUGGAAAGUAUAGCCAUAGAGGGUGAUAGUCCCGUAUGCGAAAAACAAACCUUAGCUAGCAGUAUCCUGAGUAGGGCGGGACACGAGAAAUCCUGUCUGAAGCUGGGUCGACCACGAUCCAACCCUAAAUACUAAUACCAGAUCGAUAGUGCACAAGUACCGUGAGGGAAAGGUGAAAAGAACUGAGGUGAUCAGAGUGAAAUAGAACCUGAAACCAUUUGCUUACAAUCAUUCAGAGCCCUAUGUAGCAAUACAGGGUGAUGGACUGCCUUUUGCAUAAUGAGCCUGCGAGUUGUGGUGUCUGGCAAGGUUAAGCAAACGCGAAGCCGUAGCGAAAGCGAGUCUGAAUAGGGCGCUUAGUCAGAUGCUGCAGACCCGAAACGAAGUGAUCUAUCCAUGAGCAAGUUGAAGCUAGUGUAAGAACUAGUGGAGGACUGAACCCAUAGGCGUUGAAAAGCCCCGGGAUGACUUGUGGAUAGGGGUGAAAGGCCAAUCAAACUUCGUGAUAGCUGGUUCUCUCCGAAAUAUAUUUAGGUAUAGCGUUGUGUCGUAAUAUAAGGGGGUAGAGCACUGAAUGGGCUAGGGCAUACACCAAUGUACCAAACCCUAUCAAACUCCGAAUACCUUAUAUGUAAUCACAGCAGUCAGGCGGCGAGUGAUAAAAUCCGUCGUCAAGAGGGAAACAACCCAGACUACCAGCUAAGGUCCCUAAAUCUUACUUAAGUGGAAAACGAUGUGAAGUUACUUAAACAACCAGGAGGUUGGCUUAGAAGCAGCCAUCCUUUAAAGAAAGCGUAAUAGCUCACUGGUCUAGUGAUUUUGCGCGGAAAAUAUAACGGGGCUAAAGUAAGUACCGAAGCUGUAGACUUGCACACAACUUAGAUUAUUUAAGUUUAGAAUAUGAGAAACUAAGUUAUAUGUUUAGUUAUAUUUUUACUGAUUUUUAUAGAGUAAAGAUAGAAAUAAAACUUAGUAAAAUCAGUAAAAAUAUUCUUAGACUAAAGUUAAGUAGUUUAAGUUGUGUGCAAGUGGUAGGAGAGCGUUCUAUUUGCGUCGAAGGUAUACCGGUAAGGAGUGCUGGAGCGAAUAGAAGUGAGCAUGCAGGCAUGAGUAGCGAUAAUUAAUGUGAGAAUCAUUAACGCCGUAAACCCAAGGUUUCCUACGCGAUGCUCGUCAUCGUAGGGUUAGUCGGGUCCUAAGUCGAGUCCGAAAGGGGUAGACGAUGGCAAAUUGGUUAAUAUUCCAAUACCAACAUUAGUGUGCGAUGGAAGGACGCUUAGGGCUAAGGGGGCUAGCGGAUGGAAGUGCUAGUCUAAGGUCGUAGGAGGUUGUACAGGCAAAUCCGUAUAACAAUACUCCGAGAACUGAAAGGCUUUUUGAAGUCUUCGGAUGGAUAGAAGAACCCCUGAUGCCGUCGAGCCAAGAAAAGUUUCUAAGUUUAGCUAAUGUUGCCCGUACCGUAAACCGACACAGGUGGGUGGGAUGAGUAUUCUAAGGCGCGUGGAAGAACUCUCUUUAAGGAACUCUGCAAAAUAGCACCGUAUCUUCGGUAUAAGGUGUGGUUAGCUUUGUAUUAGGAUUUACUCCGAAAGCAAGGAAACUUACAACAAAGAGUCCCUCCCGACUGUUUACCAAAAACACAGCACUCUGCUAACUCGUAAGAGGAUGUAUAGGGUGUGACGCCUGCCCGGUGCUCGAAGGUUAAUUGAUGGGGUUAGCAUUAGCGAAGCUCUUGAUCGAAGCCCGAGUAAACGGCGGCCGUAACUAUAACGGUCCUAAGGUAGCGAAAUUCCUUGUCGGUUAAAUACCGACCUGCAUGAAUGGCGUAACGAGAUGGGAGCUGUCUCAAAGAGGGAUCCAGUGAAAUUGUAGUGGAGGUGAAAAUUCCUCCUACCCGCGGCAAGACGGAAAGACCCCGUGGACCUUUACUACAGCUUGACACUGCUACUUGGAUAAGAAUGUGCAGGAUAGGUGGGAGGCUUUGAGUAUAUGACGCCAGUUGUAUAUGAGCCAUUGUUGAGAUACCACUCUUUCUUAUUUGGGUAGCUAACCAGCUUGAGUUAUCCUCAAGUGGGACAAUGUCUGGUGGGUAGUUUGACUGGGGCGGUCGCCUCCCAAAUAAUAACGGAGGCUUACAAAGGUUGGCUCAGAACGGUUGGAAAUCGUUCGUAGAGUAUAAAGGUAUAAGCCAGCUUAACUGCAAGACAUACAAGUCAAGCAGAGACGAAAGUCGGUCUUAGUGAUCCGGUGGUUCUGUGUGGAAGGGCCAUCGCUCAAAGGAUAAAAGGUACCCCGGGGAUAACAGGCUGAUCUCCCCCAAGAGCUCACAUCGACGGGGAGGUUUGGCACCUCGAUGUCGGCUCAUCGCAUCCUGGGGCUGGAGCAGGUCCCAAGGGUAUGGCUGUUCGCCAUUUAAAGCGGUACGCGAGCUGGGUUCAGAACGUCGUGAGACAGUUCGGUCCCUAUCUGCCGUGGGCGUAAGAAGAUUGAAGAGAUUUGACCCUAGUACGAGAGGACCGGGUUGAACAAACCACUGGUGUAGCUGUUGUUCUGCCAAGAGCAUCGCAGCGUAGCUAAGUUUGGAAAGGAUAAACGCUGAAAGCAUCUAAGCGUGAAGCCAACUCUAAGAUGAAUCUUCUCUAAGCUCUCUAGAAGACUACUAGUUUGAUAGGCUGGGUGUGUAAUGGAUGAAAGUCCUUUAGCUGACCAGUACUAAUAGAGCGUUUGGCUUAUCUUU
RNAcentral lists this ribosomal RNA (3056 nucleotides) under Campylobacter coli. RNAcentral describes it as "23S ribosomal RNA". It matches the Rfam family "Bacterial large subunit ribosomal RNA". The record is from RNAcentral. Lineage: Bacteria; Pseudomonadati; Campylobacterota; Epsilonproteobacteria; Campylobacterales; Campylobacteraceae.